This 543-nucleotide ribosomal RNA is filed under the name Salmonella enterica. RNAcentral's name for it is "partial 23S ribosomal RNA". It matches the Rfam family "Bacterial large subunit ribosomal RNA", at positions 680 to 1221 of the family's 2925-position model. The record is from RNAcentral. Lineage: Bacteria; Pseudomonadati; Pseudomonadota; Gammaproteobacteria; Enterobacterales; Enterobacteriaceae.
AGUCUUAAUUGGGCGUUAAGUUGCAGGGUAUAGACCCGAAACCCGGUGAUCUAGCCAUGGGCAGGUUGAAGGUUGGGUAACACUAACUGGAGGACCGAACCGACUAAUGUUGAAAAAUUAGCGGAUGACCUGUGGCUGGGGGUGAAAGGCCAAUCAAACCGGGAGAUAGCUGGUUCUCCCCGAAAGCUAUUUAGGUAGCGCCUCGUGAAUUCAUCUCCGGGGGUAGAGCACUGUUUCGGCUAGGGGGCCAUCCCGGCUUACCAACCCGAUGCAAACUGCGAAUACCGGAGAAUGUUAUCACGGGAGACACACGGCGGGUGCUAACGUCCGUCGUGAAGAGGGAAACAACCCAGACCGCCAGCUAAGGUCCCAAAGUCAUGGUUAAGUGGGAAACGAUGUGGGAAGGCCCAGACAGCCAGGAUGUUGGCUUAGAAGCAGCCAUCAUUUAAAGAAAGCGUAAUAGCUCACUGGUCGAGUCGGCCUGCGCGGAAGAUGUAACGGGGCUAAACCAUGCACCGAAGCUGCGGCAGCGACACUGUGUGU